Molecule: long non-coding RNA, 1047 nt
Organism: Rhinopithecus roxellana (golden snub-nosed monkey)
Lineage: Eukaryota; Metazoa; Chordata; Mammalia; Primates; Cercopithecidae
Exons: 5
Source: RefSeq, a predicted model, not a curated record
AAGAAGGAGGAAACAUGCACUCUUUUCAGCUGCCAGGCAGCACUUUGCUUUGGGGAAAAACAAACAAAGGGUGCCGUGGCUGAAAGCCUAGAGGAGCUGGAGCUCAAAUGCUGUGUAGUGCUGCUGCUGGGACCCUGUGGCCCUGGAACGGAAAGCUGUGUGAAUCCCAGUGCCAGGCUCUGAGAGGCUCUCUUGCUCAACCAAAAGCAGGGAGAGUUCUCCAUAGCCAAGGGCCUGCAGCAAUUAUUUGAUUAACUUCACCAAGUUUCUGCUCUGUUUUCUGUGUUGGCUAUGGUGACAUGGACUUUCAUUGUUAUUAUUAUUAGUCUUCUUAAUACUGGAGAGAAGAGCCCGUAUCUUAACAUCUUCAAUAGAUAAAGAAAAGGCUAUUAAAGGCAAAUACCAUGAACAGAGGAUAUUCUGUGUCUACACGAACAGUGAUUCUUCAAUGGUGGUCUGAAGACCGUGAGUGUUCCUUGAGGAGUCAGUAAGUCAAGCAUCUGCAACUCCCCUGUGCACAGGGCAGGGCAGGGGGAAUGAAUGAGGCUAUAGCCGGGUGUGGACUAUGGCAUACUAGGAGGGCUGCACCUACUCGGCCUGAAGGGGGAGCACGUGCUUUGCCUGAAGGGGCAGCCCCUCGCGCACCAGGGGACUGUGGGGAGAUGAGGGAACUGAAAUCUGUGAGCUUUAAACCACUUGCUUGAAGACAUGGCUGACAUUUGUGGCUGAAUCCUAAUGUAGUUAAUUUUCCUUUCAGCGGGUCAACUUGCAACUGAGUUGCCACCAGUGUACCGAAAUGAUAGACUAGAAAACGAUGACUUCAGCAGGGGAUCAGAGCUUUAGAGCUUCAUCAUUCACAUGAGCCAAGUGCGAGAUUUCAGCCCGUCUCUCCUCUAAAUGCAGUUAGGAGUCUUCGAAACCUUUUGUGUGAAUCCAGGAGGGAAAAUUGUCUGGCAAAGUCUGAUAAGCAUCGUGUCAAGAGCACAUUUGUACUCUGAUGGAGUCUCUCUCUGUUGUCCAGGCUGGAGUGCAGUGUCGUGAUCUUGG